RNAcentral lists this long non-coding RNA (3366 nucleotides) under Triticum aestivum (bread wheat). RNAcentral's name for it is "long non-coding RNA (TAES_LNC011835)". Lineage: Eukaryota; Viridiplantae; Streptophyta; Magnoliopsida; Poales; Poaceae. The record is from RNAcentral.
GGAGCAGCAACAUAGUAAAAAAAGCCCUCAUAUAUUAAGUAAAAAAUGUUACAUUACAAGACACCAUCAGAGGAAUACAUGAUAUAGAAUACAUAAUAUAUAUACGAUCUGCACUAACAUUGAUCAUUGCAUGACAUUCUAAAACAUAAUGUAGAGCUUUCUGGUAGUAGCACCACUCUGUGCCUUGAAAUCAACAUCUUGGCCAUGCACCAACCAUUUGUCCUAUCAAUCUACAAGAACAAAAACUGUGAUCACCAACGUACCAUUACGGAAAUAAAAAAACAUGUUAGUAAUGUAAUAAAAUUUAUGAGGGUCAACAUACAUUCUUGUUUGGAUCUCCCAAGCUUUUGGGAAAUACUCCCUCCGUCCCAUAAUAUAAGAGCGUUUUUUACACUAGUGUAGUGUCAAAAACGCUCUUAAAUUAUAGGAUGGACGGAGUACUAUACUGCCAACCUAUUUCACAAACAAAAGUAGAUGACAACAGUUUCCAAUGCAAGCAAUUCAAAUCCUGAUAGUCAUACAUCUAUAGAGUUGGGAUGGACAAAAUUGUGGUAUUGAAUUGUUGUUUAUGCAGGAGAUAUUUUCUGCAACAUUGGAAUAAAGUACAAUUAAGGCUCUAGCAAACUGAGAUAAAGACGAAAAAGAUUGAGAAGGUCUAUGUUACGCACUUUCUUGCAAUAGCACCUUUUGAGAUCCUAAUGUUCUGGCCACAAUGCUAAUAAUAAGACGCAAAAUAACCAGGAAUAGUUGAAGAAGAAAGCUGAAUAUAAAUGUAUACAUGAUGAAUGAGAAUGUAUGAUGUGUGUAGAGGAAACCUGUCACCGUGGGUUUUGUUAUGUCGGUGCUCAAUUUCCUGGUCCUAAUGUGUAAACACAAUUCAUUACAGAAUUCAGAAACUUAUUGAUGGUGUCAUUAUUGAAAUGGAUUCAGCGCUACCAAGAGAUCGUGACUGGGAAUAAACCAAUGCACGCAAAGAGGCAACUACGGAUUGGAUGCGAGUAACUGUAGCUACACAUGGGACUCCAGUACUCUAUCCCAUCAACUGACGAAUGGCGCUAAACUAUCAUUAUAGUUGAUUUUAAAUUACAUGGGAGCGAGGCAAAAGAUCACUAGAGAUUCAAGAACCAUUGCAUUGGCAUCUCGCCAUUAAUUAGGACUCAGCCACGGGGCUACGAAGACUAGAUAUAGAACAGUGAACUCACAAAAGAAUGAGCCUUAUUUUAUAAACUAAAGUAGAUUGCGCAAAAAAAGGUACUAUCACUGUUUCCAGAGUUCAUUCUAUUGUGGAUCAACAUUAAACUUCUUUUGGAAAUCUUCUCAUGGUCUUCGACAUUGUUUCUGAGUUCCAAAAAAGUGAACAAACCUUAUCUGCACUAGUAUUUACUUCCCUUGUUGCAUAGUUUCAUUGUGGAGCAAAGUUUCUUGAACAAAAGAUAUAUAGUCAGAUUGACAAGAAUAGUAACCAACAUUGAUAUUUCAAAAAGUAUGAUCAAUAACAUUGCAGCUUAACUAUGAUGGGUCCCAAACAGAAUAUAAGUGAUCAUACCUUAUCUGUAGCAGGGCUUAUGUUUGAUGCUUGCAACUCCUUAUCAUUCAAAAAAAAUUGCUUGCUCUGUAGUGGAAGAGAAGAUGUAAGUAUUUUCUAUAUAAUACAAACAAGAAUAUACUCAUGCAUUAAUAUAGUAGCAUUUUAUUAUGUUGUCCAAUGGUACCAAGUUGUGGACUAUGACGAUCACCAUAUACUCUCUGCCCAUUACAAGUAAAAUAAAGCUAUGAUCAUCUUUAUUAAAUAGGUUUCAUUUACUAUUACCUGAGUUUGCAAAAAAAAAUGAAAGAAAUGUGAUCAAACCAAAUAAAAAAAACUGAAAACUAGAGACAAUAACUUUACCAAAUGUUCGAGCAUCUUGCAAAAUUUCAACCAAAAAUAACAUCCGAAGAGCCCUCACUGAAAAAAACAAAAUCGAUGUUCAAACUUUUGUUGCACUGUUUGAGCAUUGAUUUUGUUUUUUCUAGUGAGAGCUCCUCGGAUGUUAUUUUUAGCUAAAAAUUUUCAAGAAGCUCGAAUACUUGAUAAGGUUUGACGUCUCAGAUUUUUUGGAGUUGGUUUGAACCCGUUUUUCCAGGUUUUUGUAAACUCGGGUGUAAUACACCUUAGAGUAGUGGCUACUUUCCGUUUUUCUUUAUAAAAUAUUCUCACUCACGUAUUCAUCACUCCAUUACUACAAGCAAGCAAUUUACCUAUUUCACUCAUAUCUACUGCAGGUUGAAAACCAAAAUAAUUGAAAAUUGAUUAAAUCAAACUGCCCUGUAGUUGCCCUAGUGUUGAUUUCUAUUUAUGUGACCAACCACUCUACAUGGCUAAUAGUCGCCGCUCAGAAAAAUUGCAGAUUCAGUCGAUCAGUUUUUCUUUUAAACUAAAAGAGUGUUUUAUGAAAGCCAGCCGGGAAUAAGCUUCAGAGCCAAAAAUGAAGUAUAUGGAGGAAACAAAGCACCAGUUGCUUUUCUAACUUAAUCUCAGUGCAUGCACCGUGUGAAUCUGCAUAUAUCAAAUCAAACUAGCUUCAGUUGGGUACUACUGAUUCUAUCAAUGUCAGUAAUAUACUCUACAUGGCUAAUAGUUACUGUACCACUCAGAAAGUUGCAGAUUCAGCUAACCGUUUUUUUUUUUCAGAACUGCAAGACUGUUUCCUAAAAGCUAUGAAUAAGCUUGAGGCCCAAAAAUCAAGUAUGUAGCAGACAAAGCAUCAGCUGAUUUGUCCAAUUUAAUCUCAGUGCAUGCACCGUGUGAAUCAGUAAUUCCGUAUGUGCAUAUGUUCCGUCAGAUCAAACCUUGUGGAAGCAAAACUAAUGCAUAAUGAGAUGUCAUCAUCCUCACAAAAAUAUUGGUUAAUCAUCCACGCACAUAGUAGCAAGAAAUUUAAAACCAAAUGUAUCACAAGAAAGAACUAUUGAGAAAAGGAGGGGUCAAACAUUAUUCUGAAUUAACACAUACAGACAAGUGGCGAAUCACCCAAUCACACAUCCAAUAAAUCAAGGUCGCGUAUAUCGUCGCCCUGAUGGCCGGCAAACAUUCUACCAUGGCACGAUGGCCUGUCACACAUAGAACUAGAGAGGUUAAGAGAAGAUACGGUGAGUGCCUUACUGAACCAUCAACAUUGGAGUCGAGGUAACCAACGCUAUGAAGCACGGUCGAUCCCGAGACGACAGUCGCGCGUACGGAGCCGUGCUGGCGACCGUUGGCGACUAGGCUUGCUGCGGGAGCGCGGAAGACAUUGCCGAUGCGGAGGAUCCGAGAAGAGCAGUGAUGAGAGCCGGGCCGGUGAGCUGGGGCCCGAAGGGCCUCGCCGCGGUGGAGAAUCAGAGANN